CCUACGGGAGGCUGCAGUGGGGGAUAUUGCACAAUGGGGGAAACCCUGAUGCAGCGACGCCGCGUGGGUGAAGAAGCGCCUCGGCGCGUAAAGCCCUGUCAGCAGGGAAGAAAAUGACGGUACCUGGAGAAGAAGCCCCGGCUAACUACGUGCCAGCAGCCGCGGGAAUCCGUAGGGGGCAAGCGUUAGCCGGAUUUAAGGGGUGUAAAGGGGGCGCGGACGGCGAUGGAAGCCAGGAGUGAAAGCCCGGGGCCCAACCCCGGGACUGCUCUAGGAACUGCGUGGCUAGAGUGCAGGAGUGGCAGGUGGAAUUCCUGGUGUAGCGGUGAAAUGCGUAGAUAUCAGGAGGAACACCGGUGGCGAAGGCGGCCUGCUGGACUGCAACUGACGUUGAGGCCCGAAAGCAUGGGGAGCAAACAGGAUUAGAUACCCUAGUAGUC
RNAcentral lists this ribosomal RNA (440 nucleotides) under uncultured bacterium. Its description in RNAcentral is "partial 16S ribosomal RNA". It matches the Rfam family "Bacterial small subunit ribosomal RNA", at positions 338 to 795 of the family's 1533-position model. The record is from RNAcentral.